UGUGUGUUAGUGGAAGCGUCUGGAAAGUCGCGCAGCAAAGGGUGAUAGCCCCGUACACUAAAAUGCACAGGUCGUGAGUUCGAUGAGUAGGGCGGGACACGUGACAUCCUGUCUGAAUAUGGGGGGACCAUCCUCCAAGGCUAAAUACUCCUGACUGACCGAUAGUGAACCAGUACCGUGAGGGAAAGGCGAAAAGAACCCCGGCGAGGGGAGUGAAAUAGAACCUGAAACCGUGUACGUACAAGCAGUGGGAGCACCUUCGUGGUGUGACUGCGUACCUUUUGUAUAAUGGGUCAGCGACUUAUAUUUUGUAGCAAGGUUAACCGUAUAGGGGAGCCGUAGGGAAACCGAGUCUUAACUGGGCGAUUAGUUGCAAGGUAUAGACCCGAAACCCGGUGAUCUAGCCAUGGGCAGGUUGAAGGUUGGGUAACACUAACUGGAGGACCGAACCGACUAAUGUUGAAAAAUUAGCGGAUGACUUGUGGCUGGGGGUGAAAGGCCAAUCAAACCGGGAGAUAGCUGGUUCUCCCCGAAAGCUAUUUAGGUAGCGCCUCGUGAACUCAUCUUCGGGGGUAGAGCACUGUUUCGGCUAGGGGGCCAUCCCGGCUUACCAAACCGAUGCAAACUCCGAAUACCGAAGAAUGUUAUCACGGGAGACACACGGCGGGUGCUAACGUCCGUCGUGAAGAGGGAAACAACCCAGACCGCCAGCUAAGGUCCCAAAGUCAUGGUUAAGUGGGAAACGAUGUGGGAAGGCA
RNAcentral lists this ribosomal RNA (758 nucleotides) under Serratia marcescens. RNAcentral describes it as "partial 23S ribosomal RNA". It matches the Rfam family "Bacterial large subunit ribosomal RNA", at positions 323 to 1085 of the family's 2925-position model. Lineage: Bacteria; Pseudomonadati; Pseudomonadota; Gammaproteobacteria; Enterobacterales; Yersiniaceae. The record is from RNAcentral.